Molecule: non-coding RNA, 1513 nt
Organism: Lactuca sativa (garden lettuce)
Lineage: Eukaryota; Viridiplantae; Streptophyta; Magnoliopsida; Asterales; Asteraceae
Source: RefSeq, a predicted model, not a curated record
UUUAUUUUUUAAUGCCGUUUUCGUUUACCUAUAGAGACGACAUGUCGUCUCUAUGUCGUCUCUAUAGGGUUUUACCAUAACAAAAACCCUUUCAGUCUUCAUUUUCCAGUCGACUGCCCAGACAUUUUCCUCUCAAUUGCUUCGCCGAUCCCAGUCGGCUGCCCAACAAAGGUUUUCUCCCCCUUUCUCUUUUGGAUUUCGACUCUUUGGAUGUCCGGUUUUUUCUUCUAUACCAGGAACUUGUAAUCUCUAUUCCUUUCCCAGGUUCUACUCAUCUGUAAUCUCAAUCCCCAUCAUCAAUCGUCUUCUUCUUCAAAUCGGUACUACACUUCUGCUAGGCUUGCUCGAUUCUUCACAUCUCUUCCUUCCGACACAUCCAUGGCUUCUGACAAGUCAACACCGCCGCUUACUAUCGACUCCCUCAACCCAAAGGUCUUGAAAUGUGAGUAUGUUGUACGUGGUGAAAUUGUCUCUCUAGCUCAGGUAAUGUAAUGAACUGGAUUCACUAAAAAACCUUAUUAAAUAAGCAUGUCAGGGAUGUAUAUAUCGGGGAAAUAAUUAAUAAUGAGUAUAUUUAUAGAAAACUUUCCAUCUUUUUAAUCAAUAUAUGCAUUCAAGUAUACUAAUUUGCAUAUAUAAAACUUACAAUGCUGAUUUCAUCGAACGAGCAUGGCAGAUUCUUGAUCAAACUCCUGGUAGAGCUACUGGUGCAUAUAGACAUAUAGUCACAGGGGUAAAACAGGAAGUGCAGUUUAAGGGUUUAAGGAAAUGCACUGUAUCUUUUUUGAAAACGUUUUGGAUACAAGAAAGAUAAUAGAGCAAUGCAUAAUGAUUUUUCAGGUUCCUUAUUAUCUUGAUUAAGCAACAUGGUAGGGAGUUGAGGUCUUUGAGCUCAACUGCUAGACAAAAGGGUAUUACUCUGAGAGCCCUUUUUUUCAUUAAUCCAGGAAACCCAAAUGGCCAGGUUCUUGCUGAAGAGAACAACGAGACAUUGUUGAGUUCUGCAAGAAAGAAGGUCAGGUUCUUCUAGUAGCUGAGGUUUAUCAGGAAAACAUUUAUGUCCCUGAAAAGCAGUUUUGCUCUUUUAAGAAAGUUGCUCGUUCAAUUGGAUAUGGUGACAAGGAUAUUCCCUGGGUUUAUUUUCAGUCAGUGUCUAAAGUUGUUCUUUGGAAUGGAAUCUUGCUGGUCUUCCGGAUGAUGAAGCAGCAAAAUACUUUGAGAACAAGAUCCGAAGUAAUCAUAAUAAUCGGCUAAGAAGGACUUGCAGAAGGAAGCCAUGUUCCUAAGUGUCAGCCUUUUGGACAAUUAGCAAUAAUAAAUGCAAAUGGGUUAAAAAAAAAGCAACCCUUUGGAGGAUUUAGUCAGCAUCCCUUUGGUCACUUUUAUUUCUGUAUGAAUUUUGUAGUUCAUAAUAACACUACAAUAGUCAAAUGUUGUAAUUCAACUGAAGAAUUUCUUUUAAUUGUAAAAUCAAAUUAAAUUAAUGGUAUGUUAUGAAUGAUAUGUUUAUUAA